Molecule: small nuclear RNA, 98 nt
Filed under: Leptobrachium leishanense (Leishan spiny toad)
Lineage: Eukaryota; Metazoa; Chordata; Amphibia; Anura; Megophryidae
Description: U2 spliceosomal RNA (ENSLLEG00000011909.1)
Rfam family: U2 spliceosomal RNA
About the family: U2 is a small nuclear RNA (snRNA) component of the spliceosome (involved in pre-mRNA splicing). Complementary binding between U2 snRNA (in an area lying towards the 5' end but 3' to hairpin I) and the branchpoint sequence (BPS) of the intron results the bulging out of an unpaired adenosine, on the BPS, which initiates a nucleophilic attack at the intronic 5' splice site, thus starting the first of two transesterification reactions that mediate splicing.
Source: Rfam by way of RNAcentral
CUCACUUCUCGGCCUUUUGGCUAAGAACAAGUGUAGUAUCUGUUCUGUUAAUUUGCAGGAAAAUACUCUGUGCGGCUUACACAAAUAAUCAACUCCUC